CUGAGACUUGGGACUCAGAACCUUGCAGCUGAAGAUGACCUUGCAUGUAUGUUACGCCUGCAUGUGUGUCUAAGGCUGUACAGCCCAUGUUUUGUUGACAUUGUACUGUCCCUGGGGCCACCAAAAGGUGGGCCUCGUUUUGCAUCACGUCAGUCCUAAUGGGUCAAAACUGGUGGCGGAAGGUAACAGGAGAGUGGAAAGCCUGGGGGGCUUGGGAGGCUCCACGAGAUCACAGGAUCCAUGUGCACGCAUGUGUGUUGAUUUUGUGGGAAGCUUGAAGGGUCUGAAGGAAGCAGAGAAAUGGAAGGACUCGAACUUCUGACCUCAAAUGAUCCACUUGCCUCGGCCUCCCAGUGUGCUGGGAUUACAGGCGUGAGUCCCUGUGCUCGACUGAAGGGAGGAAAUGUAAGCACGCUGAGGACCACUAUGUCUAAAUCAAACCCUCUCUGACCACCCAGAUUCUCUGGAGUAAAGAUCCAGCAUCUCAGGAGGCAGCAAUAAAUAGUGGUAAGGAGUGCAGGUUCUGAAGUUACAUUGUGCAAUAUUGGGCAAGUUAUUUAUUCUGUGCCUUGAUUUCUUUUCAAAUAUAAAAUGGGAACAUUAAUUUUGCUUAAUUUCCCAGAGUGUUGGUGAGGACUGAAAAUAUAUGUGUGUCUACACACACACACACACACACACACACACACACACACACAAAAUUAAUGCUCAGUAAAAAAUAAUAACAAAUUUACAUAUUCAACAUAUGUUCCAUAUCAUUAUUUCUCCUUUGACAAUAUCAGAUUACUACUAGGGUCACCACAUAACUUAAUACCCAAACUGAAACAGUUUUGGGAGUGAAAGAGAGGCUAUAAUUACACUGGGAGCAGACUCCUAAGGCAACAGGGAGAUGGGGUCACCCUUGAGAGGGCCCAUAUUUUACAUGUUGGGGUAUGGUGGACAGCAUUGGGUUAUCAGAAAACCACAAAAGGCUUUUAUGUAGACAACUACUAAGAACUUUUUGAAACAACUCACUGGAAAAAAAAAAAAAAAGGAAAAUGUACUUGCGUAAAUUUGGCUAUUCAAGUUCUGCUUUGAGGUAAUGGUAAAUCUCCCAAACCAAAUGGUAAGGAAGUUCCCAUUUGCCUGUAUGGUUCACUCCUUUCUGUUUGAAUAUUAAACCAUCAUAACCUUACUACCUAUUGCUAGGGGCUCAAUGUUUAUGUCCCUCCAGAAUUCCUAUGUUGAAAACUCCCAAGUUGAUGGUAGUAGGAGGUGGGGCCUUUGGGGGUGAUUAAGUAAUGAGGAUGGAGCCCUCAUGAAUGGGAUUAGUGUCCUUAUGAAAGAGACCCCCAAGAACUGUCUUGCCCCUUCCACCAAGUGAGGGCAUAGUGGGAAGGUGUUAUCUAUGAACCAGAAAGUGAGCCCUCUUCAGAUGUCAAAUCUGCAAGAGCCUUGACUUUGGACUUCCCAGCUCCCAGAACUGUAAGAAAUAAAUUUCUGUGGUUUCUAAGCCACCAGAUUAUGGCAUUUUGUUAUAGCUGUCUAAGCAGACUGAGACAUCGAUUCACAAGCAGCACGGGCAAAGGCUGGAGGGUUAGCGAAUGUGCAGCCCUCUAGAGCAGGAGCUGGGGCUGAGGAGGAGAAGCAGGUAGGUGCCCUGGGUCACCCUCAGAGCACUCCUGCCCCCCGCCACCACCUGCAGGCUCCUCAGGGAUGCUCUUCCUCCAGUCAUGGGCCCUUCAGACAAGAAACGUGUUGCCGCCAUCCUUCCACCCACCAUUUCUCUUCAAGAAGUGCCCAGAGAGCUCCCAAGUGUUGAAAGGCAAGCAUCCUGUGGAGGUAUCCUCUGGACCCCUG
Molecule: long non-coding RNA, 1836 nt
Organism: Macaca mulatta (Rhesus monkey)
Lineage: Eukaryota; Metazoa; Chordata; Mammalia; Primates; Cercopithecidae
Source: Ensembl